UUCAUUGCCUACAGCAUUUUAGUUUGUUAUGGCGAGGCUUUCAUGUUUUUCUCAUCUGGGGCUUGGUUAAUGUUUGAAGUGGCCGAACGAUGAAAUUCAAGGGGCUAAAAUGACGGCUGCUCCACCAUCCAUUGAGAAGCCGAAACUCAAAAGCAGUAAAGCAGCUCAUGUAAAGAUGAAAUAAUUCAUCAAAGCUUGGCUUCUUUAUAUAUAUAAA
RNAcentral lists this unclassified non-coding RNA (217 nucleotides) under Hevea brasiliensis (rubber tree). The record is from RNAcentral. Lineage: Eukaryota; Viridiplantae; Streptophyta; Magnoliopsida; Malpighiales; Euphorbiaceae.